Molecule: transfer RNA, 86 nt
Filed under: Hyphomonadaceae bacterium TMED5
Lineage: Bacteria; Pseudomonadati; Pseudomonadota; Alphaproteobacteria; Hyphomonadales; Hyphomonadaceae
Also listed under: 1 other name
Description: tRNA-Leu
Rfam family: tRNA
About the family: Transfer RNA (tRNA) molecules are approximately 80 nucleotides in length. Their secondary structure includes four short double-helical elements and three loops (D, anti-codon, and T loops).
Source: RNAcentral
GCGGGCAUGGCGGAAUCGGUAGACGCAACGGAUUUAAAAUCCGUCGACCUUAGGUCGUGCCGGUUCAAGUCCGGCUGCCCGCACCA